GGUUAAGCGACUAAGCGUACACGGUGGAUGCCUAGGCAAUCAGAGGCGAUGAAGGACGUGCUAAUCUGCGAAAAGCGUCGGUAAGGUGAUAUGAACCGUUAUAACCGACGAUGUCCGAAUGGGGAAACCCAGUGCAAUUCGUUGCACUAUCGUUUGAUGAAUCCAUAGUCAAACGAGGCGAACCGGGGGAACUGAAACAUCUCAGUACCCCGAGGAAAAGAAAUCAACCGAGAUUCCCCUAGUAGCGGCGAGCGAACGGGGAGCAGCCCAGAGUCUUAAUCAGCAUCAGCAUCAGGAGAACGGUCUGGAAAGGCCGGCAAUAAAGGGUGAUAGCCCCGUAUCCGAAGGUGUUGGUGUUGUGAACUCGACGAGUAGGGCGGGACACGUGUUAUCCUGUCUGAAUAUGGGGGGACCAUCCUCCAAGGCUAAAUACUCCUGAUUGACCGAUAGUGAACCAGUACCGUGAGGGAAAGGCGAAAAGAACCCCGGCGAGGGGAGUGAAAUAGAACCUGAAACCGUGUACGUACAAGCAGUGGGAGCCUUGAUUUAUCAGGGUGACUGCGUACCUUUUGUAUAAUGGGUCAGCGACUUAUAUUCUGUAGCAAGGUUAACCGAAUAGGGGAGCCGUAGGGAAACCGAGUCUUAACUGGGCGAAUGAGUUGCAGGGUAUAGACCCGAAACCCGGUGAUCUAGCCAUGGGCAGGUUGAAGGUUGGGUAACACUAACUGGAGGACCGAACCGACUAAUGUUGAAAAAUUAGCGGAUGACUUGUGGCUGGGGGUGAAAGGCCAAUCAAACCGGGAGAUAGCUGGUUCUCCCCGAAAGCUAUUUAGGUAGCGCCUCGUGAACUCAUCUUCGGGGGUAGAGCACUGUUUCGGCUAGGGGGUCAUCCCGACUUACCAACCCGAUGCAAACUACGAAUACCGAAGAAUGUUAUCACGGGAGACACACGGCGGGUGCUAACGUUCGUCGUGAAGAGGGAAACAACCCAGACCGCCAGCUAAGGUCCCAAAGUCAUGGUUAAGUGGGAAACGAAGUGGGAAGGCUCAGACAGCCAGGAUGUUGGCUUAGAAGCAGCCAUCAUUUAAAGAAAGCGUAAUAGCUCACUGGUCGAGUCGGCCUGCGCGGAAGAUGUAACGGGGCUAAACCAUGCACCGAAGCUGCGGCAGCGACAUGUAAAUGUUGUUGGGUAGGGGAGCGUUCUGUAAGCCUGUGAAGGUGUGCUGCGAGGCAUGCUGGAGGUAUCAGAAGUGCGAAUGCUGACAUAAGUAACGAUAAUGCGGGUGAAAAACCCGCACGCCGGAAGACCAAGGGUUCCUGUCCAACGUUAAUCGGGGCAGGGUGAGUCGACCCCUAAGGCGAGGCAGAAAUGCGUAGUCGAUGGGAAACAGGUUAAUAUUCCUGUACUGGUGAUAAUUGCGAUGGGGGGACGGAGAAGGCUAGGCUGGCCGGGCGACGGUUGUCCCGGUUUAAGGAUGUAGGUGGGUGAAUUAGGCAAAUCCGGUUCGCUAUACACUGAGGUCUGAUGACGAGUCACUACGGUGGCGAAGUAGCUCAUGCCCCGCUUCCAGGAAAAGCCUCUAAGCUCUAGAUUAUCAUUAAUCGUACCCCAAACCGACACAGGUGGUCAGGUAGAGAAUACUCAGGCGCUUGAGAGAACUCGGGUGAAGGAACUAGGCAAAAUGGUGCCGUAACUUCGGGAGAAGGCACGCUGGCAUUAGGUGAAGUGGUUUACCCAUGGAGCUGAAGCCAGUCGCAGAUACCAGCUGGCUGCAACUGUUUAUUAAAAACACAGCACUGUGCAAACACGAAAGUGGACGUAUACGGUGUGACGCCUGCCCGGUGCUGGAAGGUUAAUUGAUGGGGUUAUCCGUAAGGAGAAGCUCUUGAUCGAAGCCCCAGUAAACGGCGGCCGUAACUAUAACGGUCCUAAGGUAGCGAAAUUCCUUGUCGGGUAAGUUCCGACCUGCACGAAUGGCGUAAUGAUGGCCAGACUGUCUCCACCCGAGACUCAGUGAAAUUGAACUCGCUGUGAAGAUGCAGUGUACCCGCGGCAAGACGGAAAGACCCCGUGAACCUUUACUAUAGCUUGACACUGAACAUUGAGCCUUGAUGUGUAGGAUAGGUGGGAGGCUUUGAAGUGUGGACGCCAGUCUGCAUGGAGCCAACCUUGAAAUACCACCCUUUAAUGUUUGAUGUUCUAACGUUGCCCCAUAAUCUGGGGUGCGGACAGUGUCUGGUGGGUAGUUUGACUGGGGCGGUCUCCUCCCAAAGCGUAACGGAGGAGCACGAAGGUUGGCUAAGCAUGGUCGGACAUCAUGCGGUUAGUGCAAAGGCAUAAGCCAGCUUGACUGCGAGAGUGACGGCUCGAGCAGGUACGAAAGUAGGUCUUAGUGAUCCGGUGGUUCUGAAUGGAAGGGCCAUCGCUCAACGGAUAAAAGGUACUCCGGGGAUAACAGGCUGAUACCGCCCAAGAGUUCAUAUCGACGGCGGUGUUUGGCACCUCGAUGUCGGCUCAUCACAUCCUGGGGCUGAAGUAGGUCCCAAGGGUAUGGCUGUUCGCCAUUUAAAGUGGUACGCGAGCUGGGUUUAGAACGUCGUGAGACAGUUCGGUCCCUAUCUGCCGUGGGCGUUGGAAGAUUGAAAGGGGCUGCUCCUAGUACGAGAGGACCGGAGUGGACGCACCGCUGGUGUUCGGGUUGUCAUGCCAAUGGCACUGCCCGGUAGCUAAGUGCGGAAGAGAUAACCGCUGAAAGCAUCUAAGCGGGAAACUUGCCUUGAGAUGAGUCUUCCCUGACUCUUUAAGGGUCCUAAAGGAACGUUUAAGACGAAGACGUUGAUAGGCUGGGUGUGUAAGCGUAGCGAUACGUUGAGCUAACCAGUACUAAUGAACCGUGAGGCUUAACCUG
Molecule: ribosomal RNA, 2909 nt
Filed under: Providencia stuartii
Lineage: Bacteria; Pseudomonadati; Pseudomonadota; Gammaproteobacteria; Enterobacterales; Morganellaceae
Description: 23S ribosomal RNA
Rfam family: Bacterial large subunit ribosomal RNA
Source: RNAcentral